Molecule: RNA transcript, 954 nt
Organism: Cyprinodon tularosa
Lineage: Eukaryota; Metazoa; Chordata; Actinopteri; Cyprinodontiformes; Cyprinodontidae
Gene: myom2a
Gene name: myomesin 2a
Exons: 4
Source: RefSeq, a predicted model, not a curated record
AACCUCCUCUCCAAAAAACAGUGAUUAAAAUUGAAGGAAAAUAUGACAUAGUAAUCAAGGAUGAUGACCUGGAAGGCUACGUUACAAUCCCUGGCGAGCCCACGGACGUGCAUGCGUCUGAGAUUUUCAAAUCGUACGUGGUGCUGAGCUGGACGCCUCCCAGCCCUCGGGGACGGGCUCCGCUCUGGUACAUCAUUGAAAAGUGCUUAGCAGGCACUGGAGCGUGGCAGAGGAUCAACACAGCCGUCAAACUGCAUUCACCCCGUUACCCGCUAUUUGAUUUGCAAGACGGGCAAAAGUACCAGUUCCGAGUCUAUUCUGUCAACAUAUAUGGUUCCAGCGAGGCCUCAGCGCCUUCAGAGCCCAUCCAAAAGGUGGAUGAGGAUGGUACUGAGCUGCCAGUUGGUACGUAUGACUGAAAUCAUAAAGCACUCUCUGAGGGCACUCCUUCACACAUGGAACUUAUGUUUUCUGUUUCUGAAUAAGCACAACGUUGCACUUGUAUUUUCUGUCACAAUGUAUGACCACUCUGUACUUAAGCCAAUACUUCACAUCCUACACUGAUGAGUCGGUCUUCUACUGUGUGUUUGUUUGAGCAAAGACUGACCACUGAAGCUAUAGGAGAUGCUUCAAAAACAAAAUCACUUUAGUUUCACAUCAGAAACGUGCACCGUUUGGGUUUUACUAAAAGUACAAUCAACACAAACUGUAAAAGGUGAUUUUUCUUUGUUGAUUAAAUCUAAGAAAUAGUAUUCAACAGACAAUGUCAUAUCCCAUAUCUUAGAUAACCUAAGGAUUUUUCUGAAUAUGAUUUAAAUUCCAUCAGUGACAUUUUUGUGGAUUGUUUAAUACGAAUUUCAGUUUGACGGGAAAAUGUUUGAAUUUGACAAAACAAUAACUUUUUGAUUUGUCUGUAAGGAGAUUUAAACGGUAUCUACCACAUAAAUGCUUAAC